GAUGAACGCUGGCGGCGUGCCUAAUACAUGCAAGUCGAGCGAACGGACGAGAAGCUUGCUUUUCUGAUGUUAGCGGCGGACGGGUGAGUAACACGUGGAUAACCUACCUAUAAGACUGGGAUAACUUCGGGAAACCGGAGCUAAUACCGGAUAAUAUUUUGAACCGCAUGGUUCAUAAGUGAAAGACGGUCUUGCUGUCACUUAUAGAUGGAUCCGCGCUGCAUUAGCUAGUUGGUAAGGUAACGGCUUACCAAGGCAACGAUGCAUAGCCGACCUGAGAGGGUGAUCGGCCACACUGGAACUGAGACACGGUCCAUACUCCUACGGGAGGCAGCAGUAGGGAAUCUUCCGCAAUGGGCGAAAGCCUGACGGAGCAACGCCGCGUGAGUGAUGAAGGUCUUCGGAUCGUAAAACUCUGUUAUUAGGGAAGAACAUAUGUGUAAGUAACUGUGCACAUCUUGACGGUACCUAAUCAGAAAGCCACGGCUAACUACGUG
This 497-nucleotide ribosomal RNA is filed under the name uncultured bacterium. RNAcentral describes it as "partial 16S ribosomal RNA". It matches the Rfam family "Bacterial small subunit ribosomal RNA", at positions 28 to 507 of the family's 1533-position model. The record is from RNAcentral.